Long non-coding RNA from Electrophorus electricus (electric eel), 493 nucleotides. RefSeq lists it as uncharacterized. The record is from RefSeq and is a predicted model, not a curated record. NCBI's taxonomy places the organism in Eukaryota, Metazoa, Chordata, Actinopteri, Gymnotiformes, Gymnotidae.
UGAUAAUUAACGUUUCUGUGGCACUUCAUAAAAAAAGUCUGGCCGUCCAGUCACUUCCUGGCUCUGUGGAAAUUUCCUAAACAAGCUGAUUAAAUCACGCUGAAUGGGGAGACGAGGAUUCGUUUGUGCUGGGAAGCUCCAUGGAGGCGUGUAUGAGCUUCAGAGUGCAGCAUCGUUCAGAGAGAAGAGGCCCAGAGUGGAAAAUUCCAGCAUCUGUGCAGAAAGUGUCAGAGGACACCAUUUGGAUCAGAUGACCUCAGUAGCUGUGGGCCAACUGGCAAACACCACUGACAGAUUAGAGGACUGAAGAGCAGGGCAAUGCGCUCCAAGCAUGACACACACUCAGUAAACAGUAAACACACAAAUGUGUUUAAUAAGUGGCCUCCGAAAUAAACAAUCUGCCAUUAACACACACGCACACACACCUAAUUUAAUUCACCCUAUGAUCAUGUACCUCAUAUAUAAUAAUAGAGUCUACAUGAAGACAAUUGUU